This 406-nucleotide ribosomal RNA is filed under the name uncultured bacterium. Its description in RNAcentral is "partial 16S ribosomal RNA". It matches the Rfam family "Bacterial small subunit ribosomal RNA", at positions 29 to 526 of the family's 1533-position model. The record is from RNAcentral.
AUUGAACGCUGGCGGCAGGCCUAACACAUGCAAGUCGAACGAGUGGCGGACGGGUGAGUAAUGUCUGGGAAACUGCCCGAUGGAGGGGGAUAACUACUGGAAACGGUAGCUAAUACCGCAUACCAUCGGAUGUGCCCAGAUGGGAUUAGCUAGUAGGUGGGGUAACGGCUAACCUAGGCGACGAUCCCUAGCUGGUCGGGGAGGAUGACCGGCCACACUGGAACGGAGACACGGUCCUGACUCCUACGGGAGGCAGCAGUGGGGAAUAUUGCACAAUGGGGGCAAGCCUGAUGCAGCCAGGCCGCGUGUAUGAAGAAGGCCUUCGGGGUGUAAAGUACUUUCAGCGAGGAGGCGUUACUCGCAGAAGAAGCACCGGCUAACUCCGUGCCAGCAGCCGCGGUAAUAC